CCCGAAAGGGUGCUGGAAGCCGGCGGACAUCUAAACUCUUGUUAAUUUUUGUUAUUCUGAAUCAAACUAAGAAAUAAGUUAAAACUUUCAACAACGGAUCUCUUGGUUCUGGCAUCGAUGAAGAACGCAGCGAAAUGCGAUAAGUAAUGUGAAUUGCAGAAUUCAGUGAAUCAUCGAAUCUUUGAACGCACAUUGCGCCCAUUAGUAUUCUAGUGGGCAUGCCUGUUCGAGCGUCAUUUCAACCCUUAAGCCUAGCUUAGUGUUGGGAGACUGCCUAAUACGCAGCUCCUCAAAACCAGUGGCAGAGUUUUUACGUACUCUGAGCGCAGUAAUUCUAUUCUCGCUUUUGAACACGUCUAGACGAUAGCCAAAAACCGCUUGCCUCGGCAGCACUUUUUAAUGGUUGACCUCGGAUCAGGUAGGAAUACCCGCUGAACUUAAGCAUAUCAA
This 450-nucleotide ribosomal RNA is filed under the name Microdochium sp. 1 AF-2012. Its description in RNAcentral is "eukaryotic LSU rRNA". The stretch from base 83 to 236 matches the Rfam family "5.8S ribosomal RNA". The record is from RNAcentral. Lineage: Eukaryota; Fungi; Ascomycota; Sordariomycetes; Xylariales; Microdochiaceae.